AUGGAUUUAACUCCCCGGAGAAAAGGAAAAAAGUCUUUCAUUUAUUGAAAAAGGAACAAUUGGACUUGAUUUGCUUGCAGGAAACACAUGUGAUAAGGCUUCAUAGGAAAGUAUUGAUUAAUAAAAGAUUGGGUCAAGAGUUUAUUUCAUCGGACAAGGUUAAAAAGAGAGGAGUAGUAAUUUACGCGAAAGAGAGCCUAUCACCGAAAUUUAUUUUUAAAGAUGACCAAGGAAGAUAUGUGGCAAUUGAAAUCCAAACACAAGGAGAAAAAUUUUUGAUAGUAGGAGUAUAUGCAGCAAAUGUGGGGUAAUCUGAAUUUUUAAGAAGUUGCAUGAGACAUUGUUAGACUAUAUGGAUUACAACAUUAUCAUGAUGGGAGAUAUGAAUGGAGUGGUAUCUACAAACAUGGACAAGUCGCAGAGACAGGUAGUUACCAAAGAUGGCAGACUACCAAAAACCUUUUUUGAGAUGACUGACAAUAUGGACUUGAUUGACAUUUGGAGAAUAAAGAAUCCCUUGGGCAGAGAGGGAACCUUCUUCUCUGAAGCCAAAAUGACAUGGACAAGAAUUGACCAAAUCUGGAUAACUAGAGGACUGGCACCUAAGACUCGAAAAGUGGAAAUUUGCCCUAAAACUUGCUCUGACCAUAAUGCUGUGAAAAUGGAGAUGAAAGUAACACCUACCGGUUCCUUCAGAUGGAGGAUGAAUGACACCUUGUUUAGAGAUCAAGAAGUUAACAAGAAGGCCCAAAAAACCUUGAGAAACUAUUUUGAGAUAAAUAUAAACACUACCAUCGAAAAAAGAGUAAUCUGGGACGCAAGCAAAGCAGUUAUGAGGGGGUUUCUAAUUCAACAGAAUGUAAUAAAGAAGAGAACUCAAAAUGAGAAAAAGAUAAAAUUUUGGAAAAAAUAAAAGAGGGUGAGAAGAAACUGAGAGCGAAACCAAAGUCACAAGAGAUUCUGAGAGAAAUAAAGUUAUACCAAGUUCAAUAUAUGAAGAUGAUGAAUCAGGAAAUAGAAUGGAAAAUUAAACAGAUGAGACAAAGGACAUUUGAAUCGGCCAAUAAAUGUGGAAAACUGUUAGCUUGGCAAAUAAAAAAAGACAAAAACUUAACACCAUUACCAACUUGGAAGUGGAAGGAAAGAACAUCCAGAAUCCAGUGGAAAUUAGAAAAUGCUUCCAGAGGUACUUUAAACAGUUAUAUACACAAGGGCCACAGAAAGAGUUUGAUUUAGACCAAUUCUUAAAAACAAAUGGACUUCAAAAAAUCUCUCAAGAAAAUAAGUUAAUGUUGAACUACAAAAUAACAGAACAGGAGGUGGAAGGUGCCAUCCAGAACAUGCAGUUGGGCAAAUCUCCAGGGCCAGAUGGCUUAACCUCAAAAUAUUAUAGAUCCUUGAAGGAUUGGAUAAUUCAACCACUAAAGGAGGUUUGUAAUGAAAUUUUGGAGGGGGGAAAAGCGCCAGAGUCGUGGAAGGAAGCUUAUAUUACACUAAUACCGAAAAAUGAGUCUGAAAAGACACAACUUAAGAACUACCGCCCCAUAUCCCUGCUUAAUGUGGAUUAUAAAAUUUUUGCAGAUAUUUUGGCUAAAAGGUUAAAAAAAAGUAUUAGUGGAGGAGAUACAUAAAGACCAAGCUGGCUUUCUCCUGGGUAGACACUUGUCUGACAACACGAGGAAUAUAAUCAACAUUUUGGAGAUGUUGCAAGUGAAUAUUAAUACUAAAGCUGUUUUAAUUUUUGUAGAUGCGGAGAAAGCCUUUGAUAAUAUUUCUUGGAGUUUCAUGAAGAAAAAUCUUCAGGGGAUGGGGGUUGGUCAAGGGUUUGAAAAUGGUAUAAGUGCAAUUUAUUCAGAACAAAAGGCUAAACUAAUAGUUAACAAUGUGGUGACAGAGGAAUUUAAGAUAGAGAAAGGGACACGACAAGGCUGCCCAAUUUCCCCAUUGCUUUUUAUUUCGGUCCUGGAGGUUCUGCUAAAUAUGAUCAGAAGGGACCGUCUGAUCAAAGGUAUACAGGUCGGAGCCAAACAGUACAAAUUGAAAGCUUUUGCAGAUGAUUUAGUAUUGACGUUACAGGAGCCAGAAUCUAGUACUAAAAGAGUAUUAGAAUUGAUUCAGGAAUUUGGUCAUGUGGCAGGAUUUAAGUUGAACAAGUUAAAAACUAAGGUGCUUGAGAAAAAUUUAACACCGAUUGAGAAAGAGAGGUUUCAGAAGGAGACAGGUUUAACAUUGGUUAAGAAAGUAAAAUACCUGGGUGUUAAUAUGACCGCUAAGAACUUAAACCUAUUUAAAGACAAUUAUGAGAAAUGUUGGUCAGAAGUGAAAAAGGAUCUAGAGAUAUGGUCAAACUUGAAGCUUUCCUUGUUAGGUCGAAUUGCUGUUAUAAAGAUGAAUGUAUUGCCAAGAAUGUUAUUUUUGUUUCAAUCAUUGCAAAUCUUGGACAAAAUGGACUGUUUCAAGAAGUGGCAGAGAGACAUUUCUAGAUUUGUCUGGCAGGGCAAGAAGCCCAGAAUAAAAUUUAAAAUAUUAACUGAUGCAAAGGACAGAGGUGGAUUUGCCCUGCCAGACCUUAAACUUUAUUAUGAAUCAGCAGCAUUCUGCUGGUUGAAAGAAUGGCUGCUUCUUGAGAACACAGACAUUUUGGAUUUAGAAGGUUUCAAUAAUGUUUUUGGGUGGCAUGCAUAUUUGUGGUAUGACAAAGUUAAAGCAUAUAAAGCAUUUAAAAACCAUAUUAGGAAAGCAUUGUUAAAUGUCUGGAUAAGAUAUAAGGACUUACUUGAAAAUAAAACCCCAAGGUGGUUGUCACCGAUGGAAGCAAAGGCUCAGAAAAAGCUCAAUAUGGAGGCCAAAUGGCCGAAAUAUUGGGAAAUUUUGGAACAAGAAGGAGACAAAUUGAAAUUGCAGAGUUUUGAGAAAUUAAAAGACAAAGUGCGAGACUGGCUUCAUUAUUAUCAGAUAAUGGAGGCAUACAAUUUGGACAAGAAAAUUGGCUUCCAGGUGGAAAAAUCAACAUUAGAAACAGAACUGUUAGAACCCAAAACUAAGAUUUUGUCAAAGAUGUAUAACUUGCUGUUGAAAUGGAAUACUCAGGAUGAAACGGUGAAAUCUGCUAUGAUUAAAUGGGCACAAGAUGUUGGACAUAACAUUAUGUUUGCUGACUGGGAACAGUUGUGGACUACAGGUAUGAAAUUUACGGCAUGUAAUGCCCUAAGAGAGAAUAUUAUGAAAAUGAUAUACAGGUGGUACAUGACACCAGUCAAGCUUGCAAAAAUCUAUCAUUUGCCCGAUAAUAAAUGUUGGAAAUGUAAAGAAAACGAAGGUACAUUCUUUCACCUUUGGUGGACGUGCCCAAAGAUUAAGGCUUUCUGGGAGAUGAUCUAUAAUGAAAUGAAAAAGGUAUUUAAAUAUACCUUUCUAAAGAAACCAGAGGCCUUCCUGCUGGGCAUAGUCGGCCAAUUGGUGCCAAAGAAGGAUAGAACUUUCUUUAUGUAUGCUACAACAGCAGCAAGAAUACUUAUUGCAAAGUAUUGGAAGACACAAGAUCUACCCACCUUGGAAGAAUGGCAGAUGAAGGUGAUGGACUAUAUGGAACUGGCAGAAAUGACUGGCAGAAUCCGAGACCAGGGAGAAGAGUCAGUGGAAGAAGAUUGGAAAAAGUUUAAAGACUAUUUACAGAAAUAUUGUAAAAUUAAUGAAUGUUAGAAUGAUGUUGGAUAGAAACUAAGUGGUUUUUAGCUGUAAUGUUAUAAGGGAAUAUGAAAAAAAUGGACUAUUAAUAGGUAAAAAUCUAAUGUUACAAUACUUUAAGAUUGAAGACUAGGAUAAACAAAGAGGGGAGGGAUUUGCUGAACUAACAAACUGAAUUGGAAUACAGAAAAGGGAGGCGUGAGGAGGUCCGGGAAAUAAGCAAAUGAAAGAUAAGUGAUUGAAAGACUGAAUUGUUUUUAACUAUUUUUAUUUUGUAUUUUUAUUUUUUCUUUUUUUAUUUUGUAAUACUUUGAAAAUCUUAAUAAAUAUCUUUUUUUUAAAAAAAAUGAGGGGAAUCCAGUGAUCUAGUUAUUCUCCCAGUAUUCUCCCAGUUAUGCUGGCAACAUCGCCCCCUCUCAUCCAUAGAUGGAGUUAAUGUACCACAGUUUUUAGUGGGAGCAGGUGGCACUGUGGUCUAAACCACUGAGCCUCUUGGGCUUGCUGAUCAGAAGGUUGGCAGUUUGAGUCUGCACAACAGGGACUCCUGUUUCUCUGUCCCAGCUUCUGCCAACCUAGCAGUUUGAAAGCACAGCAGCGUGAGUAGAUAAAUUGGUACCACUGUGGCAAGAAGAUAAACGGCGUUUCCGUGCGCUCUGGCACUUGUCAGUGGUGUCCCGUUGCACUGUAAACUGUUUAGUCAUACUGGCUACAUAACCUGGAAAGCUGUCUGCGGACAAACACCAGCUCCCUCAGCCUGAAAGUGAGAUGAGCGCCGCACCCCAUAGUCAAGUGUGACCGGACUUAACCCUCCAGGGGUCCUUUACCUUUUUUACUGAAAGGAGGUGUGUAGGAAUUUCCUUCGAAAAGAAAUAUAUUGUUUGGCCUCUACACACAAAGUUCAUUCUGCAGGCUUGCUUUUUCUUGCCUGUUGCAACUUCUUGCUAGUGCCUAAUUGAUCUAUUGGGCUAUUUUUUUUCUCUUUAAAACUGAGGCAAUCUUGUAUUUCUCUGCUAGUAUACUUUGUCAGUUAUGGAUACAAUUACUGUAUAUACUGUAUAUACAGUAUAUAUACUGUAUACUGCUGCUCAACCAUUUACAUGCCCUUUCUACUGCUAUCAGUUAAGAUCUAGAGAAACUUUAUUCCUUCAGGGGAGCAGAUAGAUAGCGCUUCAUAGGUAAUCUUUACCAGUUCCUGAGAAAUGGAAAGAGUGCUGCUGCAAUUGGGAACUGCUUGCAGGCUUCCAAGAGGUGUCCUGACUGGCCACUGCGAGGAAAGGAGAGUGGAUUAGAUUGGCAAUUGGCCUUUGUCUUGAUCCAGAAGAGUUCUUUUUACAUUCUACAAACUUCAGGUAACUUACUUUCUCAGGAACAUCAAACAAAAUAUAUUACUACAGAAGAGAGCUAGUUGCGAAAAUAAAAUUCAAGGGCUGAAAGAAUUUGGGCCAAUGGUAAAAGUGUGGUGAGCUGGCAAUUUGUUCCCUUCUUUACACCAUACCUCUCUAGCAUUGUUUCAAAUGGUCUGUCCCCCAGUCCUUAAGGGUAGAUAUGGGCAGGGCAGGGGCUAUGGAAGAAGAGGGAAUGGACAAGAACAGACUUUCCAUUCCACUGAUGGAAACCUUCACUGGAUCAAAGAAGGGCCUUCCAUCAGAGAAGAGACACCAUUUGAUACAACCCAUUGUCUCCAUUUCAGGUGGCUACAUAUUUGGCUGAUAUUCCUUAAACUGUGAACUACCAAAGAAAUUGUUUCAUUUUAUCAUUUAAUUAUCUCAAGUCUGUCACGGUUAGAAACAUUUGUUUUUAGAAGAAAUAUUUCCGCAAUUUAGGAACGUGCUGUUUAUUCAUACCAAUGCUGUUUUGAUACAACAGAGAUCUUUUGUGUCUGGGGCAUCUACUAUGAUACCAGGAAAAGGAAACGAUGAAAGGCAGAGCAAUGCAGCCAGUAACCCUUUUCUUUCAGACUUGUACCUUCCUUCCACUUGUAUCUUCCUUCCAUUAUGGUUUUCCUAACAUCCAGGCCAAAACCGGAAGUCUAGUUCAAUUACCUUAACUCCAGCUACCUCCUUCAUUGCCACAGGAUUUUGUGUGUGUGUGUGUGCCUUGUCACAGGCACCUGGCUGGAUAGGACCCAAGGCAUCAACAAAGGCUGCACUGCCCUCCCCAUUUUGCUUAUGGCCUUUUAAAGAAUUUGUUCUGCCUUCCUUUGUUUGCAACCUGAGUGCAAUCUCUCAGAACCCCUGCCCUCCAUCUUAGAACUAAGCAUCCUGUUCUCUUUUUUGGCCCAGUGUUUGCUCAAUCUGUGUUCCUGCACUUGAAUGCACAUUUCCAAUUAAGAAGACAGAGGAGGAGGAGACUUUGACCCAGGUGGAGACUUUCUUCCCUGCAAACAUUUCGCCUCUGUUUGUCUGACCAGUUUAUCUUGCUGUCAUUGAAGAAUUGACUUGAGCAAUGAGCCUGUAUGCAGAUGCUUAUUUCUGUGGAGCGAGAGUCAUGACCUCCCUCCUUAACUGAGGCUGGCAAUUUUACUCUUAAAGGAAUCUUU
Non-coding RNA from Podarcis lilfordi (Lilford's wall lizard), 6226 nucleotides. The record is from the annotation of a GenBank genome assembly. NCBI's taxonomy places the organism in Eukaryota, Metazoa, Chordata, Lepidosauria, Squamata, Lacertidae.